Molecule: ribosomal RNA, 253 nt
Filed under: uncultured bacterium
Lineage: Bacteria
Description: partial 16S ribosomal RNA
Rfam family: Bacterial small subunit ribosomal RNA
Source: RNAcentral
UACGUAGGGUGCAAGCGUUGUCCGGAAUUAUUGGGCGUAAAGAGCUCGUAGGCGGUCUGUCGCGUCGGCUGUGAAAACCCGGAGCUCAACUCCGGGCCUGCAGUCGAUACGGGCAAACUGGAGUGUUGCAGGGGGGACUGGAAUUCCUGGUGUAGCGGUGAAAUGCGCAGAUAUCAGGAGGAACACCGGUGGCGAAGGCGGGUCUCUGGGCAACAACUGACGCUGAGGAGCGAAAGCGUGGGGAGCGAACAGG